Dioscorea cayenensis subsp. rotundata (Guinea yam) is the source of this 107-nucleotide small nucleolar RNA. Lineage: Eukaryota; Viridiplantae; Streptophyta; Magnoliopsida; Dioscoreales; Dioscoreaceae. The record is from RefSeq and is a predicted model, not a curated record.
AAUCCAUGAUGCGGGCACCGCCUAAGAAGGUCCUUGAAUCAUUCAUGUGCGUCAAAUAGUAUUUUUGAUUCUCCUUGCUUAAAUUUUGAGAUCUCAAGCCUGAUCUU